RNAcentral lists this unclassified non-coding RNA (293 nucleotides) under Hevea brasiliensis (rubber tree). The record is from RNAcentral. Lineage: Eukaryota; Viridiplantae; Streptophyta; Magnoliopsida; Malpighiales; Euphorbiaceae.
GCCUGUGCUGAACCACUUAAAGCUCCUCGACUAACAACGUGAUUAUUGUUGCUCACAUGAUUGUUUAUGCCAGGAUGUAAUGCCAUCAGCUUAUUAAGGGUGUUCCUGUCAGUUGGCAGGCCCUGAACAUUCACUAGCUGCUCCAUUUCCUGCAUCUUUUGCAUCUGGAUUUUGGUUACACUGUUGUGACGAGGAUAAUUUUUCAAGCCCUCUAUCGGCCCAAAUUUUUGCUCCCGGCAGAAAUCAAUCAGAUCCUUCAUGCUGUUGACAACCUCAGAGAUCUGUAAACACCU